RNAcentral lists this ribosomal RNA (267 nucleotides) under uncultured bacterium. Its description in RNAcentral is "partial 16S ribosomal RNA". It matches the Rfam family "Bacterial small subunit ribosomal RNA", at positions 793 to 1055 of the family's 1533-position model. The record is from RNAcentral.
GUCCUGGCAGUAAACGGUGUACGUUUGGUGUGGGAGGAUUCGACCCCUUCCGUGCCGGAGCUAACGCGUUAAACGUACCGCCUGGGAAGUACGGUCGCAAGAUUAAAACUCAAAGAAAUUGACGGGGGCCCGCACAAGCGGUGGAGUAUGUGGCUUAAUUCGAUGCAACGCGAAGAACCUUACCAGGGUUUGACAUGCAUCUCUAAGGCGGUGAAAGCCGCCGAGUGUAGCAAUACACAAUUUGCACAGGUGCUGCAUGGCUGUCGU